UACCAGCACCCCGAGUGGUCGGGACGAUUAUUGGGCCUAAAGCCUCCGUAGCCGGUCCUGCAAGUCUUCCGCUAAGUCCAGCUGCUCAACAGAUGGGCUGCGGGGGAUACUACAGGGCUAGGAGGCGGGAGAGGCAAGCGGUACUUUAUGGGUAGGGGUAAAAUCCGUUGAUCCAUAGAAGACCACCAGUGGCGAAGGCGGCUUGCCAGAACGCGCUCGACGGUGAGGGAUGAAAGCUGGGGGAGCAAACCGG
Molecule: ribosomal RNA, 253 nt
Filed under: uncultured bacterium
Lineage: Bacteria
Description: partial 16S ribosomal RNA
Rfam family: Archaeal small subunit ribosomal RNA
Source: RNAcentral